Molecule: non-coding RNA, 23 nt
Filed under: Arabidopsis thaliana (thale cress)
Lineage: Eukaryota; Viridiplantae; Streptophyta; Magnoliopsida; Brassicales; Brassicaceae
Source: RNAcentral
UAGAUCUCUCAGUUGUUAAACCU